GAACGUGAUGGGUAUUUUCGACCAUUCAGUCACAUCAGCAUAAAGAUAUAAUAAAUUAAUCUAUCAUCGGAUAGAAACGUUUCUUUAGCGUUUCUUUUUGCGUAGAAAAGAAGGUAGUGAGAAGGUAGUGAGAGAGAGUAAAAUUGUUUUAAAAAAAGGCAAAGAUUUAUGUAACGGAAGAAGCUGAAGGCUGUUCCCAAGUCACUCUCUUUGCAACCUCCGAGGAAUUUUGGUAGCAUCCUCUGUGAUAUUUUGUCAUCAGUUUCGGUUUUGGUAUAGAGAGAGAGAGAGAGACGUGAGUUUCUGGUCCUGUUGCUGUUUUUGUGAGUGUGUCAGAAAGUUCGUCUCUUUUGUCCAUUGUUGCUUUUGCUUUCUGCUUGGAGAAAUGCUGGUUCGGAGGAGGGUGAUGAGUUGGAGAAGGGUGGCGAAGGCCCUGCAAGCUCUGGUAGCUCAUGCUUUGCUUUUCUCUUUCACUCUUCUCCUUGUUCUCAAGCUUGACCAUCUCCUUCCUGACUCAUGGACAUGGUGGAAAGUAUUUUCUCCUCUAUGGCUUUUUCAUGCUGUGGUGGCACGAGGCAGGUUUUCCUUGCCUGCUCCUUCGAUUCCUCACGAUCGGCGAUGGGCUCCUUUUCAUUCACUCGUAGCAACUCCACUACUUGUUGCAUUUGAGCUACUUCUUUGUAUACAUCUCGGGAGCAGUUAUGAGAUGAAUUUAAGGAUUGUCUUCAUGCCCCUGGUAUUUUUUGAAAUGGUGGUUUUGUUUGAUAACAUCAGGAUGUGUAGGGCUUUGAUGCCCGGGGAUGAUGAAAAUUUGACGGAUGAAGCAGUCUGGGAAACUCUUCCUCACUUCUGGAUUUCAAUAUCCAUGGUCUUCUUAAUUGCUGCCACAGUGUUCACCCUUCUAAAGAUAUGUGGUGAUGUUGCUGCUCUAGGCUGGUGGGACUUAUUUAUUAACUAUGGGAUUGCACAGUGCUUUGCCUUUCUUGUUUGUACUAAGUGGCAUAAUCCAACUAUACAUGGAGGCUGUCACAUCACAGAACCAUGUUCAUCGUCAAAUACCAUAAGAUACCUAGACAUGAGUAGAGGAGGCUUAGUUACUUAUGCGGAUGAAGAUAGGGAGCAAAAUGGGUUCUGCAAUCUGCAGGAUAUUGGUGGGCAUAUCAUGAAAAUUCCAUUCAUUGGUUUUCAAAUACUUCUUUUUAUGCAUUUAGAGGGAACGCCAUCCAGUGCAAAAAAUCUGCAACAUUGGGUCAUUUUUUCGCCACUUUUUUUGUUGCAAGGAGCUGGGGUAUUAUUUGCUGCAUAUAGAUUAAUAGAGAAGAUAGUUCUUUUACUCUACAGUGGAGAUAUUCCUGAAAGAUACUCAUCUAUAGCAUCAAAAUCUCGUGAGUGCUUUGGGUUCUUUCGACAUGGUUCAAGGUUACUUGGUUGGUGGUCAAUAGAUGAAGGAAGUAAAGAGGAAGAAGCUAGACUUUUUUUUUCUGGGAGUUCUGGGUAUAAUACUUUUACCCCUGAUACAGUGAAGAAAAUGCCUAGAGCAGAUCUGGUUGAGGAGAUUUGGAGAUUACAAGCUGCACUGGGUGAGCAAACAGAAGUUACAAAAUUUAGCCAGGAGGAGUAUGAAAGGCUUCAAAAUGAGAAGAUCUUAUGUAGAAUUUGCUUCGAAGAGCAGAUUAACGUGGUCCUCCUUCCUUGUAGGCAUCACAUUAUUUGCAGCACCUGCUGCGAAAAAUGUAAACGGUGCCCUGUCUGCCGUGGCACCAUUGAAGAAAGGAUGCCUGUAUAUGAUGUGUAGCCUGUAUAUGAUGUGUAGACUGUAUUGAAGAUGUAUAGGUAUCUUACUGACCAUCCAGCUUGUGAUUUUAGACGAAACAAGCACCGAGAAGGAUCAAUUUCUCUGCUCAUAGAUUUUAUAUCUUGAAGACAAGAAGAUAAAAUGCAAGAUGAUUGUUGAACUCUUUGAACACUUGAUGAAUUCGUACAAAUCACCUAAUUUUCUCCACCAUUGGGUCAAAUUUAGCAGAUGGGUUGAUGGCAAAAUAUGGUUUUAGGGAUGACCUGGCUUUGGAGACAUCUUUCUCUAACAAGAACAAAGAAAAGAAAAAAUGACAUGCAAAUGGCAAAACAAACACAUGAUAGUGAAACUAUACUUUAUAAAUGUUUGGUUGGUGUUGUGGUUAUUAAUUCCUUUGUCAUCGGCUGCUUUCACGUACAUAUGUAAGGAACUGGCCCUGCAAAUAAACUUGCUUCUAGAAUCGUACUAUAUCCGACAAAUUUUUCUACCAAAAACAUAAUCUUGGACCAC
This is a non-coding RNA of Vigna umbellata (rice bean), 2305 nucleotides long. Lineage: Eukaryota; Viridiplantae; Streptophyta; Magnoliopsida; Fabales; Fabaceae. The record is from RefSeq and is a predicted model, not a curated record.